GACCGUAGCCUCCCGAGCAGGGUGGGCUCCACGCGAACGGCGGGCGCUGGCAGAAAGCGACCCACGCAGAGUUCCGCGCCAGCCGAGGGGCCCGGCUGCCGCCCAUGCGCGGUCCUGGAGGUGCCGGGAGGGGGUCGCGGACCCUGAGGCAGGAUCCACGUGGUCCCUGCGGGCCCAGUGAGUGACAUCACCGCGACGCUGCGCAUGGAGCAAGCUCUACACCCGGGAGAUGGCCACGGUGCGCAUGCAGCAAGGUCUACUCCCGCGAGGUGACCACGGGACAGACGAUCCUCUGAGGUUUCCAGGAAGACCCCCGCCCUAAUCCUCUGAAGGUCGGAGGUCACAGGUCAAAGCCGAGAACAGAAGCUGGGGUGGGGCACACAGAGGUGGAAAGAGGGGCCUGAGCAUCGGGCGGCCACCAGCAGGGUCCCCUCCUGGCCACAAGGACGCUCCCGUUCCAGUCCCCGGAAGAGGGUGGCUGCAGCCACCCCGGGGAUGACCAGCAGCUCGGCCUCCCCCGCUGCUCCCCACCAGCGCCCGGGCUUGGGUGUUUGGUGCUUCCAACUUUUCAAGAGAAGCUUGAAAUCUGUAAUUCUUAUGUGAAAUCCUGCCUUUCUUAACUAAUUAAAGACUUAAAAUUAGCUAGUUAAAAUUAAUUAAAAUUGAUUAAAUUUGUACUAAU
RNAcentral lists this long non-coding RNA (682 nucleotides) under Homo sapiens (human). RNAcentral's name for it is "HSALNT0404661". The record is from RNAcentral. Lineage: Eukaryota; Metazoa; Chordata; Mammalia; Primates; Hominidae.